CAGCCGCCGCGGUAAUACAGAGGGUGCGAGCGUUAAUCGGAUUUACUGGGCGUAAAGCGUGCGUAGGCGGUUCGUUAAGACAGAUGUGAAAUCCCCGGGCUUAACCUGGGAACUGCAUUUGUGACUGACGGGCUAGAGUAUGGCAGAGGGGGGUAGAAUUCCACGUGUAGCAGUGAAAUGCGUAGAGAUGUGGAGGAAUACCGAUGGCGAAGGCAGCCCCCUGGGCCAAUACUGACGCUCAUGCACGAAAGCGUGGGGAGCAAACAGGAUUAGAUACCCCCGUAGUCCCUGUCUCUUAUAC
RNAcentral lists this ribosomal RNA (301 nucleotides) under uncultured bacterium. RNAcentral describes it as "partial 16S ribosomal RNA". It matches the Rfam family "Bacterial small subunit ribosomal RNA", at positions 509 to 807 of the family's 1533-position model. The record is from RNAcentral.